This 465-nucleotide ribosomal RNA is filed under the name uncultured bacterium. Its description in RNAcentral is "partial 16S ribosomal RNA". It matches the Rfam family "Bacterial small subunit ribosomal RNA", at positions 28 to 507 of the family's 1533-position model. The record is from RNAcentral.
GACGAACGCUGGCGGCGUGCUUAACACAUGCAAGUCGAACGGAAAGGCCCUGCUUGCAGGGUACUCGAGUGGCGAACGGGUGAGUAACACGUGGGUGAUCUGCCCUGCACUUCGGGAUAAGCUUGGGAAACUGGGUCUAAUACCGGAUAGGACCGCACUUUAGUGUGUUUGGUGGAAAGUUUUUUCGGUGUAGGAUGAGCUCGCGGCCUAUCAGCUUGUUGGUGGGGUAAUGGCCUACCAAGGCGGCGACGGGUAGCCGGCCUGAGAGGGUGUACGGCCACAUUGGGACUGAGAUACGGCCCAGACUCCUACGGGAGGCAGCAGUGGGGAAUAUUGCACAAUGGGCGCAAGCCUGAUGCAGCGACGCCGCGUGGGGGAUGAAGGCCUUCGGGUUGUAAACUCCUUUCGCUAGGGACGAAGCUUUUUGUGACGGUACCUAGAUAAGAAGCACCGGCUAACUACGUG